RNAcentral lists this ribosomal RNA (497 nucleotides) under uncultured bacterium. RNAcentral's name for it is "partial 16S ribosomal RNA". It matches the Rfam family "Bacterial small subunit ribosomal RNA", at positions 28 to 507 of the family's 1533-position model. The record is from RNAcentral.
GACGAACGCUGGCGGCGUGCCUAAUACAUGCAAGUUGAGCGCUGAAGGUUGGUACUUGUACCAACUGGAUGAGCAGCGAACGGGUGAGUAACGCGUGGGGAAUCUGCCUUUGAGCGGGGGACAACAUUUGGAAACGAAUGCUAAUACCGCAUAACAACUUUAAACACAAGUUUUAAGUUUGAAAGAUGCAAUUGCAUCACUCAAAGAUGAUCCCGCGUUGUAUUAGCUAGUUGGUGAGGUAAAGGCUCACCAAGGCGAUGAUACAUAGCCGACCUGAGAGGGUGAUCGGCCACAUUGGGACUGAGACACGGCCCAGACUCCUACGGGAGGCAGCAGUAGGGAAUCUUCGGCAAUGGACGAAAGUCUGACCGAGCAACGCCGCGUGAGUGAAGAAGGUUUUCGGAUCGUAAAACUCUGUUGGUAGAGAAGAACGUUGGUGAGAGUGGAAAGCUCAUCAAGUGACGGUAACUACCCAGAAAGGGACGGCUAACUACGUG